This 30-nucleotide non-coding RNA is filed under the name Mus musculus (house mouse). The record is from RNAcentral. Lineage: Eukaryota; Metazoa; Chordata; Mammalia; Rodentia; Muridae.
UAGAACCAAGAUAGUCUUGUUACAGGGCUC